UCCAUUAUAUCAGCAUCUACUUAAUCCACACUGUUUCAUCAACUACAUGAUAAGAUUUAACAUUUUGUGAUUGUGUUGUUUUAACAUUUGUAGGAAAUGCCUCAUGUCUUCCGAAAGCCUAAACACUGUCAUGCAAAUCAAACCCCUUCAUAAAUGAUUAGAGGUGUUCUCAGGAGAAGUGAGGGUCUGGGUUCAGGUUCAGAUCAAACCAUGUUCUCUACACUUCUACUCUUGCUGUUAACAGCUACAUCUGGUAUUAAAUGUAUUGAACUGGUUCAGCCUGCAGUCAUGCUGGUUAAGCCUGGAGAAUCAUUUUCAGUCCCCUGUAAGAUCACUGGAUACUCAGUCACUAGUCAAUGUACUAACUGGAUGCGACAAUCAGGACAAAAACUGGAAUGGAUCGGCUGGUACUGCAGCUCCAGUAAUACUGGCAGCAGCGAUUCACUAAAAAACAAGAUCCGUUUCUCAUCUGAUGCCUCCACCAACACUGUGACUUUACAUGGGCAACAAUUUCAGACUGAGGACACAGCUGUGUAUUACUGUGCACGAGAGCCACAGUCGUUCAGAUUACUGCUGAGGCUGUACAAAAACCAGGGACAUGCUGUGUUGAGCUCACUUUAGUCUGCAUUUGGUCAU
Tachysurus fulvidraco (yellow catfish) is the source of this 636-nucleotide non-coding RNA. NCBI's taxonomy places the organism in Eukaryota, Metazoa, Chordata, Actinopteri, Siluriformes, Bagridae. The record is from the annotation of a RefSeq genome assembly.